UGGGGGAUAUUGCACAAUGGGCGAAAGCCUGAUGCAGCGACGCCGCGUGGGGGAUGAAGGCUUUAGGGUUGUAAACCUCUUUCGCUAUCGAACAAGGCCCGCUUAGGGUGGGUUGAGGGGAGGUGGAGAAGAAGCGCCGGCUAACUACGUGCCAGCAGCCGCGGUAAUACGUAGGGCGCGAGCGUUGUCCGGAAUUAUUGGGCGUAAAGGGCUUGUAGGCGGCUUGUUGCGCCUGCUGUGAAAACGCGGGGCUUAACUUCGCGCGUGCAGUGGGUACGGGCAGGCUUGAGUGUGGUAGGGGUGACUGGAAUUCCAGGUGUAGCGGUGGAAUGCGCAGAUAUCUGGAGGAACACCGAUGGCGAAGGCAGGUCACUGGGCCAUUACUGACGCUGAGGAGCGAAAGCAUGGGUAGCGAACAGG
Molecule: ribosomal RNA, 420 nt
Filed under: bacterium
Lineage: Bacteria
Description: partial 16S ribosomal RNA
Rfam family: Bacterial small subunit ribosomal RNA
Source: RNAcentral